GAGUCUAAGGCUAAUGAUGAAAAAGGACCACAAAUCUCAGCCUUGUAAAUGGUUUUUCUGCAUGGAAAAUUAUUUUCAAAUAGCCAAUUCUGAUCAGCUCUCAUUUGCAUUCCCAUCCUUCCCAGAAUGAGCACUGCCUCCUUUUCAGCAUACUGCCAUUAAGGCAUCUCUAUGUGGAACAGAUGUGUUCACCAGGGAAAUUACUUAGGAACAGAUGUCCUUUUUGAAAUCCAUGUCGUGGAUUUUCCAACUCAGAUAUGACUGUUGAAAUGGCUUUUCCUACAAGCUGUACUACUAACGAUUCCUCUCAACUACUGUUGGAAAAACUGUAGAAGAAGAGAUAGCUUCUGACAUGCAGUUGCCCAUCCAUGGACAGAGCUAGCAGAGCCAGUGGGUCCCAACCAGCUGAGAGAAGAAAGCCCACCUACAGCACCUAGGAAGCACAGUCUACAUCACAGCAUCAUGCCUUUUAGGCCUCUUAACAUGAGUUUGCCCAGAGAAGCAGACACCAGAGCUCUAUUAUCCUCAUGGUGAAAGAAUCGAACUCUCUCCAUGGGAACAGACAGGAAAAGUCACUUUAACCAGGAAAUAUCCUGUUCUGUCUCAAGAGGCCAUGAUGUAUCUUUUAGGCAGAGGCUGAUAACGAACCAUGAUAGUAGAUCUCUGAAUAAAUGAGAGUAAAACAAA
Gallus gallus (chicken) is the source of this 687-nucleotide long non-coding RNA. RefSeq lists it as uncharacterized. The transcript is spliced from 3 exons. The record is from RefSeq and is a predicted model, not a curated record. NCBI's taxonomy places the organism in Eukaryota, Metazoa, Chordata, Aves, Galliformes, Phasianidae.